Molecule: long non-coding RNA, 337 nt
Organism: Solanum dulcamara
Lineage: Eukaryota; Viridiplantae; Streptophyta; Magnoliopsida; Solanales; Solanaceae
Exons: 3
Source: RefSeq, a predicted model, not a curated record
GAAUAGAGAGAAAAUCGGCCAAGAGAGAGUAAUAUUAACUCUCCAAAUUUCAUCCCCAAAAAUUAUAAUUUUCUAGUAUUCCUACUAAGUCAAGGGUGCUCUACAACAUGGUGUAGUUGUUUUGGAAGUUUGGAGACUUGUUUCAUUGAUUUGGAAGUGAAGAAGUUAGAAGAAAAAGAUUUUGGAGGAAACGGGAAUUGAAUUUGGACAACCGUAAAACGUCAAAAAGUUUCUCACUACUCCACUCGUGGAUGCCUCAAUGCUUCUUUCACUGAGCUUGGGCCAGGAUAUGUUUUCGUGCGUAUUUCUCUGUAUUGUUCGCCGUGUCCCGACGUGA